AAAAAUAUAUAUAAAUAUAUAUUUUUUUACUUUGUGCAUUCAGCUUUGUUAGGGUUUGCCCUACUCGUACCCCUCUUAUGCAUUGCCUUCAAGAUCAAUCAUCCUUUUCUAUUAGGGGAACACUUCCAUCACAAUAGCCUGAUCCAUCAUCUCAGCUCACCGAAGGAAGUCGUCUUUAUCUCUGCCCUUAACUUGUGGUUUUUCUCUUCUCAUUUUUUUCUAAGUUUUCAUACGUUUAUGAUUCAGUUUUCAUUUUGGUGCUUUUGAUUUUUCCCUAGUGUUGAUGUUUCCCAGAAUCUUCCACAUUCAAGAUGGUUAAUAUUCCUAUUACGAUAUCUGAUCAAGAUCUAAAAAAAUUCAUACUUUGGUUUACCAGCUCGAUCUGGAUCUUCAAAGAAGAGAUUAAAGUCCUCACAGCUCCUUUUGAAUUCACAUUAAUAGGAAAGUUUACCUUUCAUCAGUCACUUCAUGUUUCAUACGAAACAAAAAUUUUUCUUCUCUCUUAAAUGUUAUGGUGAAUUUUCUUUUACCAUAUUGGAGCCUUGUCAAAAUCUCAAAUGAUUUAGAUCAUAGUAGGAUCUUUGUGCAUAGAGCAUAUUAAGUGAGCAACUAUUAUAUGACACUUAUUAAGUGGUCAUCGCUA
Long non-coding RNA from Dendrobium catenatum, 643 nucleotides. RefSeq lists it as uncharacterized. Lineage: Eukaryota; Viridiplantae; Streptophyta; Magnoliopsida; Asparagales; Orchidaceae. The record is from RefSeq and is a predicted model, not a curated record. The transcript has 2 exons.